GGGCGAUUAGCUCAGUUGGUUAGAGUACGAGUAUCACACACUCGGGGUCACAGGUUCGAAUCCCGUAUCGCCCA
Molecule: transfer RNA, 74 nt
Filed under: Spirochaetaceae bacterium
Lineage: Bacteria; Pseudomonadati; Spirochaetota; Spirochaetia; Spirochaetales; Spirochaetaceae
Description: tRNA-Val
Rfam family: tRNA
About the family: Transfer RNA (tRNA) molecules are approximately 80 nucleotides in length.
Source: RNAcentral